CCCCCCUUAAAAGAAUCUCGUCCUCGAGAUUGAGCCAGGUAAACACAAACCACUGUGUAGUUGUGACCCUUUCCAGUCAUCCUCUCUUUUCCAAGUUGCUUCUACCUCUAAAAACCGAUUCCAAUGCACUAACAAAUUCAUGUCUCUAGUCAAGUAACAUACCUGGUAACUUAUCUGAAAAUUUAUUCCCUACCCAGUCCUGAAGAUCAACACCAUCAUCCAGCUGAUUCACUGUAGCUGUGGGUGGAGCCUGCACUGCUACAUCCACACUGAUUCUCUCUCCCUUGGGUGUUGUCACAACUACUACUUUUUCUUUGCACUUAAUUUCCGUAGCAUAUUUCUUCAUCCAAUCCAAACCCAAUAUCACAUCUAUGCCUGAGGUUCUCAUAACCAUGGGACUAACAGGGAAAUCCACCCCCCUUAAAGAAAGACUUGCUGAGGGGCAACAAUAUGAAACUGGUAUAGUCCCUCCCGGUGAGUUUACUAGCAUAUGGGUUUUCAGGGCAACUAGUGGUAUGCUGUGAACUCUAACAAAUGCUUGUGAUAUGAAUGUAUGCGAAGCUCCAGAAUCAAAUAAAACUGUAGCAGGAAUAGAGUUGAUACUAAACGUACCCAUCAUAAUCUCCGGUCCCUCUUGUACUGUCUCUGCAGCCACAUGGUUCACCUUUGCUCCAUGAGAAUUAGACUUUUGAUUGUUGUUCCGCUGGUUGAAUCUCUCCGGGCAAUCAUAUGACAUAUGACCUUCUUUCCCACAGCGAAAACACCUAGUAGGGGUAUUGGGAGCACUUCUCUUCAUAGAGGUGGCAUUUGAAUCUCCGGAGCGGGAAGUCUGCUGUCCACUCUGUUGAUGAUUAGGAUUACGCUGAGAUUGUUGGUUGCGAUCCCAUUGACUAACUGGUCCCUGAAAGCUCUGUUGAUUGCUCUGCUGAGAAUUGAAACGUUGGCGGUUGUUGCCUCCAGACCCUUGUGCUAGCAUCCUCCUCUUCUUAUCCUGACCUUUGCGCAUGUUAUCCAACACAAUGGCACGGUUCACCAGAGCCUGGAAUGUAGGGUAGGUAUUUCCAGCCAGUUGCAAUCUGAGUUCAUAGUAAAGACCUUUCAUGAAGAGACGUUGUUUGUCAGCAUCUUCUCUGACUUCGUUUGGAGCAUAGCGAGCCAACUGCUCAAACAUGUCAUGAUACUCAGCCACAGACAUAGAACCCAUCCUGAGAGAUCUGAAUUCUUCCUGCUUGAGCUCCAUCAUUCCUUCAUUGAUAUGUCGUGCUCUAAAGUCUCUGCAAAAUUCUAACCAAGUGACAGGAGGAGCAUUGUUGGGACGAGCAGCUUGAUAUGACUCCCACCAGGUCUGAGCUGCUCCCUGAAGUUGUCCAGAAGCAUACAACACCUUCUCUAAGUCAUUGCACUGUGCUAUGUUUAGUUGCCUCUCCACAGCACGUAACCAAUCAUCCGCCUCCAUGGGAUCCGCUGAGUGUGUAAAUACCGGAGGUCUUCCCUUCAUGAAUUCCCCCCGCUUAUCUCUCACAUGAACAGGUGGUGAUGUUGGUGGAGGUUGUUGUUGUAGGUGUUGCAUGAAGACGUGCAUCAUCUGAUUCUGAGUUUGCAUAAGUUCCUCCACAGUAAUUGGGGCAUUGUCACUAUUGCCACGGCCUCUGCCUCUGCCUCUUCCCCUUGCUGCCAUCUGCAUUCCAAGGUAUAUAAACACAUCUUAGUAAUGUCCAACAUGACAAUUACAAGAGUUAACCGAAUCUGAAAUUUUCUGGGUAACAUCCAACAUCAGCAGAUCAGAAAAUCAGUAAUAUCUCGAGUUCCAGAAUUCAAAAGGAUACAUGCUGUACACCGUUGGAAAGAUAAAGAAAUUGUCUACAACUUCCAUUUAGAUCAUAUUACCAGAUUCCAACGUGAGGUUAACCAAAAACUGGGUACAACCGAAACUGUUCCAGAAUUCCAGACUGCGCAGAAACCUCAACUUGAAACAGUCAUAACUCUCAGCUCAUAAUCGAUGCUAUGGUCAUUCUUGCGGCAUUGGAAAGAUAUGGAAGUCUACUUGUUCCCAGAAAAAUUUGAUGGACAUUGCAUGAACAGAUUUUGAGAUGUACCAGAUUCAUUGCAGACUGCUCCAUAAAACAGCAAAGGACAGAAACAGAAUUUUAACCAACCCCAACUAUUUAGUUCAUUAAUCCUUAUGCCUUAAGCCUAUAAACUAAAUGAAAUUGUAGAGGAAAUCCACAAGAUCAUUGCACUCAUUACAAAGAUCCAAAUCAAGCAUAAGCAUAAUAACAAACCAAACCAAGCAUCAAAGGUUCACAUUUCAAGCAUUAACUCAACUUGCGGUACUAUCGUUCUCUUCCUAUUAAGGGCAAAGAUUCCUAAAAUUCUCUUUCAACUAUGUAAGCAGGUGGUAAGAGAAGGUUCUAAAAGCAUAUUCAAAGCAAGGAGUGGGGAUGAGAACAAGUCUUUAAAAUAAGCAACAAGGUGAAGAUGAAUAGGAUAUAGUGUAGAAGAAAAUAUCAAGGUUUAUAGAACAAGGAUUUUAUAGCAAUUUCAAAACCUUAUGACGGCCAAUUUCUAACUAGGCUUGCGUCCGACAGUCAACAAAGCUCUGAUACCAAUUUGUCACACCCAUAUUUUAAGAACAAAAUAGGAUGCAUAAAAGACUCAUAUGUGCCCCAGGAAUAGUCACACACAUAAGUAGACAAAUCUCAAAUGUACCAUUGCAGUGUUUAUUACAUAGCGGAAUAUAUAUUGAAUCACAUAGUCUCAUACAAAAAUGAUAGCAUAAAGUAAACAACGCUCUCGACGGAAGCUCCACACAGGGACACUGUUGACUGGUUGACUCCAAACCUAGUACUCAUAACGAUAAUCCUCAUUCCAGUCAUCUUCAUUAUCAUAACCUGAGGUGUUGGGAAAUUGCAAGAGUGAGCACAUAUCGUACUCAACAAGUAUAACCAGGGGUUCAUGAGGCUCAAAUAGCUGACACUGGUUUGACUGCAUUUAGCUUUUAAUGGUGGAUAGCAUGUUCAUAAUUAAUGAGCAAUUGUCAAGGAAGCUGAAAUAAUCCAUUAAUCCCAUGAUCAAAUGUAAGCAUAAUUAAUCUCAUAGCAUAAACGAUAAUCAAAUGAACAUAAUAACAUAACAAGCUCAUCAUCUUAAUGUAGAUGUCCCCAAGGCCGCUCCUGACCGUGAGCUCGGCUAGUAUACCAGUUUUACACUCUGCAGAGGUUGUACAUCUUUACCCAUGAGUCAUGAUUUACCCUUUCGCCCGAGGCCCGUCGACCUCUUAACCCACUACCAAGGAAGGUCGGCAGGGAUCACUAUGAAGCCUUUCAAAAGUUCGUCUAACAAGUUAGGGCCGCAAGGUUUCCUUUGCGCGCAGAUAUAGAGCCCCCCUUCCGAUGGCACAAUGACUCGCAGCCUAUACUCAUACAGACAGAGGCCACACUAUACCCAAAACGGUUCAGCCCCUCCGCUCUUUCGGGUAACCGCUAACAAGCUAGAAAAGGGCUUCAUACUGAGCUAAAGCCAGAGCCAUAAUAGCCCUCAUGGUUGCACUGUUAUCCCGGGUGAUCACGUACAGACAAGAUCUCAUACAGUUAUUUGUCAUUCUUUUAUGUUCAUUGCAUAGCUAUUAAUCAUCUUACAAGAUCAUGGAUUAUAUCAAGCACUAGCACAUCUACACCAAAUGCAUAUCAAGUAGGUAGCAAGGAAUACAGGUAACAAUUGUCUAUGAUUUUGCUAAGGUCAUCAAGGUGGACACAUGCAUAUGAUAAAUAUUGUAUUAAUUGUGUAUAGGUAACAAGGAUGAUCCCAAGUUAUACUUGCCUUGAUCAAAGCUCUCCUGAGCCUGCUGGUCUUCAAAUACUUGAUCUUGAGCACCAACGUACGGCUCACGGUCUAAUCCCAAUCAUCAAUCAACAACACGCAAUCCAAUGUAGACAAUCAUACACGAAGCAAACAAGAUAUAAUUAGAACAAUACACCAAACAGUGGUAAAACCAAUAUAAAAGUUUAUCAAAAUUUUCUACGCAGCGCUACGAUCACACAAACGUAAAGUUCACGAAAAUCGGAAUUAAAACGUGAGAGAUAUGAAUUUUCUAAGAUUUCCUAUAAAGAAAUAAUUAAUUAAAUACUACUGCAGAAUUAAAAAGUUUCAAAACAGUAAACUAAUAUUUCUAACAUGUAGAGAUCGUAAAUACGAAUACAACGGAAUUUGAAUGGACAAAAACGGAGUUAAAAUGAAUAUUUUAUGAGCAUUAUAAAAUCAGUGGCAAUUCUGUAAUUUCUGCAAAACGUAUUUGAACUCGGCCGACAGAAAAUACGCUUUCCCACUUCGAAAACGGAAUCUUGCUCAGGGCGCCAAGGACCGCGGGGCAAAUAUGGAAAACUAUCAGGGACUCUUUACGAAGAAUUGCAGCGAAAGGGUACGUUUUAAUCCUGGCCGUUGAUCUUCGGUUGAACGGUUGGUAGCCUUCCUGGUCACCCACAUCCGGCCGGAGUUGGGCACCGGUUCGGUGGCGCCAUGGCCACCGCCCGGAAGCUCGCCGGCUUCUCGUUUCCGAGCACCGUUUCCAGAAAGAAAAACACCGGGAUGAAGAGGAGCUCACCACGAUCUCGUCUAAGCGCUUGGUUGGGUCCGAGAGCUAGCAGAGGGGCGUGUCCACGCGCGGCGGCGAAAAGGGCUCCCGGCGAGAUCCAGAACUCGCGAAACAAGGCACGGGGACUCGGUUUUGGCGACCUAGAUGCGAAAACAUGACGAGGGAGCGAUGCUGGAAGCUUUAUAGUGGUCGGUUUGCGCGCUUGGCAAGGAAAUCCCGAGAACUCGGGCCUCGGUUCGAUCCGGCCGAGUCCGUCUCGCCCACGAUGCUGGGAAGAAGAUGGGAGGGGCGAGACACUGCCGGGUGGGGUCAGUUGUCAGCGACUGAGAGAGAAAGGGGGAGGCGCUGUGCUGCGGGGCCGGCUCGUCAGCGAGCCAAGGCAGAGGGGCGCGGGGGAGGGGAGCUGGGCCUCGGCCUGGAAGGCUUCCUUUUUUUAAAAAAAAAACCUUUUUCAAAAAGGAUUUUGAGGACAAUUAAAUAUAAACUAAAUACAAUCAACAUAAAAUAAAAUAUGUCUCAGCAUGAAUGCACAAAAUCAUGUUACUAAGCUUAUGAUAAAUUUUAAAUUUCCACAAAAUUGUUUAUUUGCUACAUUAAAUGCUCACUAAAAUUCUUAAAUAAUUCAAAUUAAAUCCUAUUAAUUGAAAUUCAAAUUUUGGAUGUUACAAACUCUACCCCCCUUAAAAGAAUCUCGUCCUCGAGAUUGAGCUAGGUAAACACAAACCACUGUGUAGUUGUGACCCUUUCCAGUCAUCCUCUCUUUUCCAAGUUGCUUCUACCUCUAAAAACCGAUUCCAAUGCACUAACAAAUUCAUGUCUCUAGUCAAGUAACAUACCUGGUAACUUAUCUGAAAAUUUAUUCCCUACCCAGUCCUGAAGAUCAACACCAUCAUCCAGCUGAUUCACUGUAGCUGUGGGUGGAGCCUGCACUGCUACAUCCACACUGAUUCUCUCUCCCUUGGGUGUUGUCACAACUACUACUUUUUCUUUGCACUUAAUUUCCGUAGCAUAUUUCUUCAUCCAAUCCAAACCCAAUAUCACAUCUAUGCCUGAGGUUCUCAUAACCAUGGGACUAACAGGGAAAUCCACCCCCCUUAAAGAAAGACUUGCUGAGGGGCAACAAUAUGAAACUGGUAUAGUCCCUCCCGGUGAGUUUACUAGCAUAUGGGUUUUCAGGGCAACUAGUGGUAUGCUGUGAACUCUAACAAAUGCUUGUGAUAUGAAUGUAUGCGAAGCUCCAGAAUCAAAUAAAACUGUAGCGGGAAUAGAGUUGAUACUAAACGUACCCAUCAUAAUCUCCGGUCCCUCUUGUACU
RNAcentral lists this long non-coding RNA (5906 nucleotides) under Sorghum bicolor (sorghum). RNAcentral's name for it is "long non-coding RNA (SBIC_LNC003657)". Lineage: Eukaryota; Viridiplantae; Streptophyta; Magnoliopsida; Poales; Poaceae. The record is from RNAcentral.